AUUGAACGCUGGCGGAAUGCUUUACACAUGCAAGUCGAACGGCAGCACGGGGCAACCUGGUGGCGAGUGGCGAACGGGUGAGUAAUAUAUCGGAACGUGCCCAAUCGUGGGGGAUAACGUAGCGAAAGUUACGCUAAUACCGCAUACGAUCUACGGAUGAAAGCGGGGGACCGCAAGACCUCGCGCGAAUGGAGCGGCCGAUAUCAGAUUAGGUAGUUGGUGGGGUAAAGGCUCACCAAGCCAACGAUCUGUAGCUGGUCUGAGAGGACGACCAGCCACACUGGAACUGAGACACGGUCCAGACUCCUACGGGAGGCAGCAGUGGGGAAUUUUGGACAAUGGGCGCAAGCCUGAUCCAGCCAUUCCGCGUGCAGGAUGAAGGCCUUCGGGUUGUAAACUGCUUUUGUACGGAACGAAACGGUCUGCCCUAAUACGGCGGGCUAAUGACGGUACCGUAAGAAUAAGCACCGGCUAACUACGUG
This 482-nucleotide ribosomal RNA is filed under the name uncultured bacterium. Its description in RNAcentral is "bacterial SSU rRNA". It matches the Rfam family "Bacterial small subunit ribosomal RNA", at positions 30 to 507 of the family's 1533-position model. The record is from RNAcentral.